CUCACCUGUCCAUAGUCACGUGAUCUGACUGACAAUUAUAAUUAGGAUACUUAAUUAUGUGGGUUUUUUUCCCAUCCAUUCCAAUGGAUGAAUAACGUAGUGUGGUCGUUAGUACUCUCGCCUCACAGCAAGAGGGUUGCCGGUUCGAUCCCGGGCGUGGGAGCCCUUCUGUGUGGAGUUUGCAUGUUGUCCCCGUGUCAGCGUGGGUUCUCUCUCCGGGUACUCCGGCUUCCUCCCAUAGUCCAAAGACAUGCAGACUGGGGACUAGGUUAAUUGAUAACUCUAAAUUGUCCGUAGAUGUGAAUGUGAGCGUGAAUGGUUGUCUGUCUCUAUGUGUCAGCCCUGCGAUAGUCUGGCGACCUGUCUAGGGUGUACCCUGCCUCUCGCCCGAUGUCAGCUGGGAUAGGCUCCAGCCCCCCCGCGACCCCCAAGAGGAUGAAGCGGUUAGAAGAUGAAUGAAUGAAUCAAUGUGCCAAUGUGCUGCUUCAUGAUCAGCCACGCUUGUUAAAAAAGGGGGUGUGGCUCUACUGCAGUCCACUUUAGAUGAUGUGGAGCACUGAUCGGUUUAUAGACAUUCCAUAAAAUAAGUCUGUGCAUUCUCGGUGCAUCUCCAUGAUUAAUAUCUCCUCGUCCAUGGUGUCAACGGGGUGAAAUGAUAUCUGAAAACCUCUGACCUGUUGACUUCAGGCCUGCCGCUGCCCAUUAUGCAUUUUUCAAGGUGUAGUGCAGGGAAAUAUGAUCCGCCGUGAACACUGUGUAUUUUAUUCUUAAAACUGACCGGAUGUUUUAUUUUGUUUCUGUGCACGACUUCCUGCCCCGCACGAAGUGCUGAAUUGUUGCGUUGUGCUCUGUCGUCCGGCAAAAAUAGAAGUCCUGCGUAUCUGUGCAGAGGGCUCCGGAGUGCCGGAGCUGAGACGGAGCCGGUGUGACAGAUUAACUGGUGUUGAAUCAACUGGUGAGACAGAUGUGUUGUGGGCGUGGCCUUUGAGAAACCCACAGUGGAAAAACGAGGAAAAAAACAUUGAACUCCUAACCAAACACCACGAUAGAAGUGGUUUGCUGGACAUCCACAGAGAAUUCGAAGCCAAGCGAACACGAUCCGCAGUUGUCCUGUGGCACACACGUCUAUGAACGCUUCAAAAUAAGAAAAUCUAAAUGCAUCCAAAAUACCAACAAAGUGGGGCAUCACAUAUCGUAGCUACAUGAUAUACUGCCAGCAAUACCAACGUUAUGUCAUGUCCCUAAUCAUGUCUGUCCAGCUACAUGUGUGUAUCACAAGUUAAUCUGAGCGCGUCACACAUUACCACUCUGUUUGUGCGAACACUCCAGUAUGGCAUUUAACACCCCAGACUCUGUGUGUGUAUCACUCACAGGCUGUAUGAAAGCAUCAUCAGUCCUCAGAAACACUUGACAUCAUAUAAAUAAUGAUAUGGCGCACACGUAGUUCCAUCAACAGGAAAACUCUGCAAACACCGUUUGCAGUAUUGUGAACAGCAGGCAUUAACACAGUCACUGACGUUGUCAGUCCCAAUUCAUGAACACCGCAAUGCUAGAUACAGAUCAGUGCAAAUGUCAAUGAAUCCUGUAGAAAAUGCUCAGUUGUCAGUCCUGUAGUUUGUAUCAUCUGAUGUCAAGUCGAUGUGCAGUCUGGAAAUGAAAGUCUGAGAUAUUCACAUCCAACUCGAGCGCAGCGCGGCGAUUGCCAUGAGCUGUGGCAAAUUGUGAUCCACUCAGAUUAACUGGUGAUACAACAUGUGUAGGCUACAUUCCAACAAUCAUGCUGCAUAAUGACGGCCACUGACAAUUCACUCAGUCAUCACAACGAUAGUCUGCACCAUUCAGUGCAGACAUGAUAACUCAAUAUACAACAAGAAUGAAAUAAAUAAAUAAAUAAAUAAAUAAAUAACAAAAGUCAAUGGGAUAAUCACACACAGGUGUAGGUGAUUAUACUCAGGUGUAGAUAACUCCAAUCAUCAGGGGGUAGUCUUUAUAAGGAUGGUUAACAGCUCACAACUUUGUGGGUUUGUUUGUGACGAGUUUGAGCAGUGAGCAGAAAGAGAGAAAAAGACGGUGUGCAAGAAAGAGUAAGUGGUGAUUGUAAGUGGUGACUGUGAGUGGUGACUGUGAGUGAGGCUUGUGAGUGGUGAUUGUGAGUGGUGAGUGUGACAGUGAAGUGUGCUUUGUGUUGUAAAGAGAGUGGGAUUGUAGGUUUGUGUGUGUUGUGUGCUAGUGUGUUGUGUCAGUGAGGGUAGGAGUAGUGAGGGUAGGAGUAGCCAAGGUAGGAGUAGCGAGGGUAGGAGUAGGUAGGGAGGAGUAGGAAAGGUAGGGACAUAAUGGUGAAGUUGAAACUCCAUUAUCGGUAUCCUGAGGGGUCAACCAGCCGAGACAGAUUUGUCAUCAGGAGGAGAGCUGACACCUUCAGGAUAAAGGGUAAGGAUGCAUGUCACAUGGACUUAAGAACACAAUGAUUAUCUGCUAUGACGAAACUCCAAGUAAUCUAAUAUGAUGACAUUUAAACACCAGAUGGAGACCUCUACUACAUCUGUCGGCGAAAGCAGAACAAGGCCGGGCACCUCGCCAAAGUGGUCUCCACUGCUGAGGAAGCAAGCAACCUCUUCGUGGAGUUUCAUGCCAGCGAUAUGGGUGGGCACUGUGGGGUGGAAAAAACCGACAGUGCCAUCAUUGCCCGCUAUUAUUGGCCUGGCAUGGAGGAUGACAUUCGCAAGUGGAUUGCUCAGUGUCCCCAGUGCCAGGCCAGGAGGGCUACCAUCAAGGAAAAGCAGGAGUACAAUCCAAUAGAGGUAACCGAGCCUCUCGAGCUGGUUGGAAUGGACUUGGUGGGUAAGCUCAAUGAACAGAUGGUGGCAACCAGUACAUAUGUGUCAUGGUUGAUUAUUUCACCAAAUGGGCAGAGGCAUACCCACUAAAAAGCAAAACAGCAGACGAGGUGACAAAUUGUAUUCUUGAUUUCUUUUACAAAUUUGGUGCACCCAAAAGGCUGCUAACAGACCAAGGCUCAGAAUUUCGCAACAAGGUAUAGUGAUUAUGCAAUAUGGAUCACCAACAUGUAACUUUUGCUGUGCUGGCUCAGCUCAUGUUCAUUUGAAUGUCAUUUCAAGGUCAACUAUGGUCUGUGUGAGAGACUGGGCAUCAAGAGGAGCCUAUGCUCCCCUUUUCAUCCACAGACCAAUGGCCUUGUGGAAAAGCUGAAUGGCACGAUACAGAGGUAUAGUUUUGUUGUCAGAACUUGAACUUGAGCCCUUAAUAGCCUAGCACUUAUAUCCUGUUCCAGUCUGAACAGGUAAUCAUCAAUGGAUUGCUGUAUCAUACACGACAACCCAAAGUAUCUUCUGCCUCCUCAUGCAUGUACCUGAAUUCUGCAUUUUAAGGUCCCUGAACAAACUGGUGGCUGAGCACCCCAACCAUUGGGACCAGUAUCUCCAGCCAACAAUGUUUGCCCUGAGGACCAAAAAGCAGCUGACUACUCAAUACAGCUACCUGAUGUUUGGGAGGGAGGCCAGGUAUCCCUCAGAGGUCCCAGAUGAGUAUGACGUGACCGAAGAGAAGGUCUGCAGCCUCAUUAAGACAGAGGAGAUCUGCCAGGGACUCAGAGAUCAGGUCCCAGUCUGCAAUGAGGUAAAGGCCAAUAUCGAGGCCAAACAGCAAAAGGUCCGCAAGAGGAAGGAGGACAGAGGUCAGGCAGACCAUUUUAAAGUGGGGGACCUUGUUCUAAAGAAAUGCAUGGCAGGCCAUGAGGAAAGGGGACAAACUGGAGGCCAGCUUGGUGGGACCUUACAAAAUAUUAAAGCUGGAGGAGAAGACCGCUCACCUGGUGUCAGAGGGGGACACAGUCAAAAGUCAACACUCUCUGUUUGCCCUGCCACACUGCGGUCAUUGCAUAGCUGUCUAUAAUGACCGCACCACUCUUCCUCCCAACCAUUGUGAGAUAUGCAUUAAUGAUCUUUGAAAACAAUUAUGUGAUUAAUCUGUAAAGACGCACAUCAGUCAAAUAAUUGUUCUUUGAGGUAGGCUACCUGACUCUCCAAUUCCUUUCCUGGGGCCAGGUACAGGAGGUCUUCCAUAUAUAAUUUAUAUGGCCCCAGCCUUGACCAGAGUGUGGUUCGGCGCCUUCCUGCCCAUACGUCUCUGAUUACUGUAACACAAAAGAAUAAAACAUUGUUAUGGCAGUUAUUCAUGACUUGCAUAAUUUGGGGUGUACUCUACCAGUGUACUUACAAAUAUCUGCACUGAGUGGAGGUCCUUGGGCUUCACAGCUUGUGGGUUGCCUUGCUGGGGGUGUGACUGAUGUGACUUGACUCAUUACUUCCAGCCAGAGGAGUAGGAUCAAUCAAUUUCCUGAUUUUGGCAGGGAUCCUCUCCUCUGGCUGGAAGUAAUGAGUCAAGUGGUCAGGCUUGAAAGGGGUGAGUAGGAUUAAUUUCUUAUGCCUUUGCAAUCCAGUGAGUUUUUCUCAGUUGGAUAUGUAUGGUAUAUUUGAUUUCUGUUGUAGCUGGCCCUUGAUUGUGAUGUGGCUGCAGGAGCAGUCUGUCAUGAAGGACACUGGACACUCAUUGUGAGUAUUCCUAAAUGUUAACAGAUGUGGACACAAUAAUGACACUUAUGUUUGAGGGGUUGCUAAUAUUUGUUUUGCAUUUCCAUAGAUCAUGUACCUGAAGGAGAUGAGGUCCUUAUACCUUGAUCCGUUCGGUGCCACUCAGUAACAGAUUGAGAGGUGUAAACAUGUAACAAGGGCACUGGUUCGCCAGAAGUGUCCUGCUAUCGGGAGGUGGACAUGUGCUACAUUGGCCCAUCCUAGACAGCAGGACACAACAUCAUGUGGGGUGUUUGUGUGCAAGGUAAUGACUCAGUGAUCUCUGUGCCUGUCAUUAAAGUGUCAUUCAAAUUGUACUCAUGAGACUUUUAGCUUGCAGAGCAGAUUUUGCUGGCCCAGCAGAUUGACUAUGCAGUAGACCAGGAGGGUGUGGCCAUGCUAAGGAUGGACAUGGCUAAAGCUCUGCUGGCAAAUACAGAUGACCUAUCCCAGCUGUGUCGGGCUUGUGGGGAGGAAAGCUCCGGGGCUGAGAUGGACGAGUGGGUAAGGAGAUCAAUUCUUGUCCCGGCCAACGUUGGUUGGAUGCCUUGGAUGCACCUUGGACGGGUUACCUCAUGGUCACUGGGUGAAUACUCAGUCACACACAGCUAUUGUUAAUGUGUAGUUUACUUUACUUAACCUGCAUGUCUUGCACUUCAGCGGUCACUGGAGCAGCUGAGGGAACAUGGGAACACAGACAACCACAGCUAAGAUUUAAAUCUAGUAUCUGACAGACAUUGCCAUACAAUUCUGAGCAUUAUCAUGAUUUCUCAUUAACUGUUAAAUUGUACAACCUCCUGGGAUGAAUGAUUACCUGACACACUGCUUGGAUGGUUUCUGAGGUCUCUUUUCUCUUUUUUUUUAGAUUGAAUGCACCACCUGCUAUCUGUGGUACCAUUCACAGUGAGUUGGACAGCCCUCACCAGAGCAGGACUGGCUUUGCACUGAGUGCGCCACAUGAAUCGGCACUGCGGUUUCUAUUCUUUUACCUGUAUCUUUACCUGUAUGUAUCUAUCUUUCUAUAUCUAUACGGCCUAUAUAUACUGGCUGGUGACCAUGCUCUCAAUGUGACUGUAGAUGGCAUCAGUGGGAAGGAUGGCAGGGACAUGACUUUCAGCAGUUCCACUCGGGCAUUAGUUUCAUUUAGUAAUGUAAUGGCGAUGGUUUGUUUCCACAUGGUUUUGUCGGGAACAUGACUGAUGUCCAGCGAACAGUUCCCAUCGUCAUGAUUCAGAUGGAACCGGCAAACGUGUGCGUUAGGAAGGCAAAGUGAUCAUGACAUGUAUUUCCUGGUUGUUUACACGGGACAUACACAACGGGUCCACACAGGCCACGCCCACACCACAUCUGUCUCUCUCACCAGUUGAUUCAACACCAGUUAAUCCUUCACACCGGAACGCAACACAGCUGCAGCCGGUGGAAACACACACACUGACUAGUAUUGAAUCCUAUCGCCUCCGCUGCCGUGCCGGAGCGCAGACGCAACCGAGAGCAGCCUCUCUUGGGCAGGCCCUGAACUCGUCACUGAUAUCUCUGUAGUGGUUAAAUAUGAAAUGUAAUUCCUUUGGGCUAUGUCUAAUGGGCAAUAUUCACUCUCAGUAUAUAAGAUAUAUUAUUAUAUUAUUAAAUGUUGUAACAUUGUUGAUGUAAUUGUUGUUCUUUGUAUGUAUUCUUUUGCUUAUUUAUGUGUUUUUACCAUUCAAUAAUGAUUUUAAGAAUUUAUUGUAAUUUAUUUAUUGUAGGCCUAUUUAAUGAUUAACUGUAUUUAUUGUAGUUUUUAUUCAACAGCAUUUUAAAUAUUGAUUAUCUGAUAUGAAUUGUAUACCUGAUGUCUGAAGUGUGGCUGAAUAAAAUUUUCCUCUUAACAUCUGACCUGUUUGAUCCCAUUUAUAUUGGUGAGGACAGACUAAAUGAGAAACUGCUGUCAGUAUAAUCCAGUACAGUUCAA
Molecule: long non-coding RNA, 6537 nt
Organism: Epinephelus fuscoguttatus (brown-marbled grouper)
Lineage: Eukaryota; Metazoa; Chordata; Actinopteri; Perciformes; Serranidae
Exons: 6
Source: RefSeq, a predicted model, not a curated record